RNAcentral lists this ribosomal RNA (260 nucleotides) under Lysobacterales bacterium. Its description in RNAcentral is "partial 23S ribosomal RNA". It matches the Rfam family "Bacterial large subunit ribosomal RNA", at positions 2679 to 2925 of the family's 2925-position model. Lineage: Bacteria; Pseudomonadati; Pseudomonadota; Gammaproteobacteria; Lysobacterales. The record is from RNAcentral.
UAGUACGAGAGGACCGGAGUGGACGAACCUCUGGUGUUCCGGUUGUCACGCCAGUGGCAUUGCCGGGUAGCUAAGUUCGGAAGGGAUAACCGCUGAAAGCAUCUAAGCGGGAAGCCUCUCCCAAGAUUAGAUCUCUCAGCCCUCGAGGCUGUAAGGGCCCUUGAAGACUACAAGGUUGAUAGGCUGGGUGUGGAAGCACAGUAAUGUGUGAAGCUAACCAGUACUAAUUGCCCGAGAGACUUGGUCAUAUAACACCAAAA